UAGAUGUCUGUUAUUGGACCGGUUCAUUCUUGAAUGCGGUUGAUUAAAUUUAAGAUGGAUUUAUCUAAUAGUUAGCAGAAACGACUUCGAUUUUCAUUCCGCUGAAAUAUGAGCAAAAACUAGGCAAGAAUGGAUUUGGUGCAAACCCAGAAAUUAAUCACAAAGUUGCCGGGAAUGUACUUGUCGUCAGAAAAACAAUUCUUGGUACAAAGCCCUUGUGGUUCGUUGAUGUGGUUUCGUGGAAAAAAGAGUUAAUUUGCAGAUAAUUAACACGAUAUUACCAGUAGCGCGAUUUGGACAAACUUUUGGCAGCGGAUGCAGAUUUGACGGGUGCGACAACGGCACGUGGAUGGAGGCCUUAAAUAAGAAGCUGUUGACCCGUUGCUUCCUGUCCAAUGAAGCAGAACGUCAGCUUACCUGGUUUGUCCAACACCAGCAUACCUUGUGCCCUGUUAAUACUGCUCCACAUGCGUCUCGGUAUCAUAGGCAAGGCUGGAAUUUCUCGACACGGACGUGCAUCCCCAGAACUAUAGUAGAGCUGCCCAUCCAGAGUGACUGGGCAAUAGGGCACUUUGGAUUUUCAGCACAUUCUGGUGGUAAAUACCUCCGUAGUGGUCCGGCUGCAGCUCCCGUUAAGGAAACGAAAUGAGUUUUUCGUAAAGCUAAAACUGGACAUGGGCCGCUCGAUUGAUAUCUUUCAGGAGGAGAAGUGGGUGAUCACGGACAGCAAUGGAGAAGACUGUUCCAGAUAUGACUGCAUAUCCAAGUCCAUAUCCGACUUGAAGGCUGGUUUACAGUUCUGAAAACUUGUCACGAGAUUUGAUUCCCCAAUGCAUUUUUAGAGGGGCGGGAUUUAUGGGAAUUGGGCACGGAAAAAUCGAAAUUUCCGCCCUUUUGAAAAUACAUGGGGAUCAAAUCCCGUGACACGUUUUCCGAACUGUAAACCAUCUAUUAAGGCUGUGAACCAUUCCACCGAUUCGUUUAACUUUUAGUUAAAAUUUGACAGUUCGAUGGUUAUUUCGCCGUGGUUAAAAAUAACCCUGCUCCGGAGCAUGGUUAGAUUUGACAGUUCGAUAGUUAAACUUUGUUCGCGAGAAAAUUGGCGCCAAAUCCAUUUCGUUCUAAAUAACUAUCAAUCUGUCAAAACUCAAAUGAGUCGGCUUCGGAGUAAAAUUUUAACCACGAUGGGAAAAUAACCAUCGGAAUGUCAAAUUUUAACUAAAAGUUAAACGAAUCGGUGGAAUGGUUCACAGCCUAAGGAGGCGUACUAUUUAGCGAAGUUUUUCGCGCCUGGAAGAAGGUUGAUUGGAAGUCUAAGAUUUGAUGAAGUAUCUCAUCUUAGAGGAACGCAUCUAUUGUGGUCGAUCGCGUUCAGAAAUGUAUUCGUGCAGUUGUUGCAUGGAGACUGGGUUAAUAACACGAUGCAGAUCGAGAUCCAAAGUUCCUCGAAAGAUUGGCAUGACUAAUGAAGCACACCGUAUACUAUGUGAGUGAUUUGUAUAGGAUCCCAAGUAACCAAAAGUUCCAUUAACCUUCUGUCUGUGCUCAAAAAAACUUACGUUGUCUGUGCUCUGGGGUCAAAUUGACCCCAAAUUGAAAUUGCUAUAACUUUUUUAAUGUUUGGCCAAUU
Armigeres subalbatus is the source of this 1630-nucleotide long non-coding RNA. RefSeq lists it as uncharacterized. The transcript is spliced from 4 exons. NCBI's taxonomy places the organism in Eukaryota, Metazoa, Arthropoda, Insecta, Diptera, Culicidae. The record is from RefSeq and is a predicted model, not a curated record.